RNAcentral lists this long non-coding RNA (1137 nucleotides) under Struthio camelus australis. RNAcentral's name for it is "lncRNA (ENSSCUG00000004540.1)". Lineage: Eukaryota; Metazoa; Chordata; Aves; Struthioniformes; Struthionidae. The record is from RNAcentral.
GAGCAUUGUUAUAUGUCUGAAAAAGAAUCCACAGAACCAUAAUAUUACCGCAGGUACAUGACAAACAGCAUCUGUCAUGUAUAGCCAAUUCCUGCACCAUCCAUUCAGUGAGACCCUUUGGUGAGAGUACAUCGAGUAAUUCAAAAGUCACCUGUUUUUUUAAAAAGACCUGGCGUGUUCAUUCUCACUUUUCUUGAUAUGGAGCUUCCUCCCCAGGUUGUACUGGUGUGCAUGCUUGGGGUCACGGUCCGCAUCUGCUCCAGUGGAGAGGACAGAAGGUCUAAGGAGGAAAUAAGACUAAAUGAACAUGUGACAAAGGAACCCCAAAGGAAAAGUUGUUUUGAUGGUGUAUCAGCAGCAGCAGUAAAGAGGAGGUUACAUGACAUCUAUCUCUAACUCCCCACCGGGCACCAUGAGGUCUUUCAACAAAGAAACGGUUUCUUCCAGUACAGACACGUGAAGAAGACCAUGCUGUAAUUUCUGACUGUUCGUGCAAUUACAGUUUUUCAGUACAUUCCACGUGGCUCUGGAAUCAAAUUUCUAUCCCAAGUGUCUUUCAGGUACAGCUCUCUACCUGUGAACACAGAAGUGUUCUACGUGAAUAUGCAAAUUGGAUGGAGACGCUGGAUUUGUUUAAGAUGAAUAUGGAGAAAGUUUAAAAUAUACCACUGAGCCUGGGGUACCUGCUCUGACCCUUACCACCUCUGCUAUUAAGGAGCGCAGAUUUCCUCCCACCACUUUUCUAAUGCCACCUGCCUUCUAACACCUGCCAUAACCAGGGGAAAACUCUUCAUUUUAAAUUUUCACAUUUUACGAAAGAAUUGCUGAAGAGGAACACUUCUGAGUUUCAACAUGAAAGGUCUUAGUGAACUCAAGACAGAUAAAGACCUUCCUGAAUUUCUUGAAUGCUCCAGACGACUGCUGCCAAGCAGGCUCAGGAGUGUUGCUAAAGCACUAUAUGUUAGCCUUGAGUCUCUUGCUCAUGGAUCAUCCCCAGGCGAGACAGAGGACCAAAGGAGAGACAGAGGAUUCGGUGCCAGCUGGAUUGCAUGGAAAGGCCCAGGCUGAGGCUUGCUAUACGCUUUUGGCAGAGCCAAAGUAUCCUUGAUUCUCUAUUAAUAAAAGUACUGAAUAGGA